This 548-nucleotide ribosomal RNA is filed under the name Schizomida sp. MCZ IZ-127225. RNAcentral's name for it is "SSU rRNA". It matches the Rfam family "Eukaryotic small subunit ribosomal RNA", at positions 24 to 566 of the family's 1831-position model. The record is from RNAcentral. Lineage: Eukaryota; Metazoa; Arthropoda; Arachnida; Schizomida.
UCAUAUGCUUGUCUCAAAGAUUAAGCCAUGCAUGUCUAAGUACGUGCCUAAGAAAGGUGAAACCGCGAAUGGCUCAUUAAAUCAGUUAUGGUUCCUUAGAUCGUACCUUACUACUUGGAUAACUGUGGUAAUUCUAGAGCUAAUACAUGCAGCAGAGCUCCGACCUUCGGGGACGAGCGCUUUUAUUAGACCAAGACCAAUCGGACUUCGGUCCGAAGCUCAUGGUGACUCUGGAUAACUUUGGGCUGAUCGCACGGUCUCGUACCGGCGACGCAUCUUUCAAGUGUCUGCCUUAUCAACUUUCGAUGGUAGGUUAUGCGCCUACCAUGGUCGUAACGGGUAACGGGGAAUCAGGGUUCGAUUCCGGAGAGGGAGCCUGAGAAACGGCUACCACAUCCAAGGAAGGCAGCAGGCGCGCAAAUUACCCACUCCCGGCACGGGGAGGUAGUGACGAAAAAUAACAAUACGGGACUCUAUAGAGGCCCCGUAAUUGGAAUGAGUACACUCUAAAUCCUUUAACGAGGAUCUAUUGGAGGGCAAGUCUGGUG